RNAcentral lists this ribosomal RNA (449 nucleotides) under uncultured bacterium. Its description in RNAcentral is "partial 16S ribosomal RNA". It matches the Rfam family "Bacterial small subunit ribosomal RNA", at positions 29 to 523 of the family's 1533-position model. The record is from RNAcentral.
AACGAACGCUGGCGGCAUGCCUAACACAUGCAAGUCGAACGAGAUCUUCGGGUCUAGUGGCGCACGGGUGCGUAACGCGUGGGAAUCUGCCCUUUGGUUCGGAAUAACAGUUGGAAACGACUGCUAAUACCGGAUGGUGACGAAAGUCCAAAGAUUUAUCGCCAGAGGAUGAGCCCGCGGAGGAUUAGCUAGUUGGUGGGGUAAAGGCGAACCAAGGCGACGAUCCUUAGCUGGUCUGGAAGGAUGAUCAGCAACACCGGGACUGAGACACGGGCCAGACUCCUACGGCAGGCAGCAGUGGGGAAUAUUGGACAAUGGGCGAAAGCCUGAUCCAGCAAUGCCGCGUGAGUGAUGAAGGCCUUAGGGUUGUAAAGCUCUUUUACCCGGGAUGAUAAUGACAGUACCCGGAGAAGAAGCCCCGGCUAACUUCGUGCCAGCCGCCGCCGUAA